ACAUUAGUUAGAUGGUAGGGUAACGGCCUACCAUGACUAUGAUGUCUAGGGGUUCUGAGAGGAAGGUCCCCCACACUGGAACUGAGACACGGUCCAGACUCCUACGGGAGGCAGCAGUGAGGAAUAUUGGACAAUGGAUGGAAAUCUGAUCCAGCCAUGCCGCGUGCAGGAAGAAUGUCCUAUGGAUUGUAAACUGCUUUUGUAUGGGAGCAAUAAGGUCUUCGUGAAGGCCGAUGAGAGUACCAUACGAAUAAGCACCGGCUAACUCCGUGCCAGCAGCCGCGGUAAUACGGAGGGUGCAAGCGUUAUCCGGAUUUAUUGGGUUUAAAGGGUGCGUAGGCGGUUAUAUAAGUCAGCGGUGAAAUUUUUCAGCUUAACUGGAAACAUGCCGUUGAUACUGUAUAGCUUGAAUAUGGUUGCUGUGAGUGGAAUGUGUAGUGUAGCGGUGAAAUGCUUAGAUAUUACACAGAAUAUCGAUUGCGAAGGCAACUCACAAAGCCAAUAUUGACGCUGAGGCACGAAAGUGUGGGGAUCAAACAGGAUUAGAUACCCUGGUAGUCCACACUGUAAACGUUGAUAACUAGCUGUCGGCGAUAGAGUGUCGGUGGCCAAGCGAAAGCGAUAA
Molecule: ribosomal RNA, 625 nt
Filed under: uncultured bacterium
Lineage: Bacteria
Description: bacterial SSU rRNA
Rfam family: Bacterial small subunit ribosomal RNA
Source: RNAcentral